CCCGCACUCGCGCCCCCACCCACCCACUCUCCUCUCUUCCCCGAUCCCCUCCCACUCGAGCCGGAGCCCCUCCCUCCUCUUCGUGCCGCCGGCCGUCGUGGCGACGCAGAGCAAGGCGCCGAGCCGCGGGAGGUCGCCGUGCACGUGGAGCACCCAGAGAAAAAGCGGGCAGCGAGAGAAGAAAGACCUAGCCCGCGUCUCCUCGUCCCCUCUUGCCGCCUCCGGCUCCUCUCCUCUCCCCCGGUUCACCUUGAUGCGCCUGGCCGCGGUGAUGGUGGCGUGACGGACUUUGGCCAUGGAUCCCAGCAGCUUCAAAAACGGAGGGCAUUUUCUAUAUUGUUCAGCUGCAGCUUAGGAUGCCAUGAGUUGAUAGCUAAGCCUUCUGCUUCCAACCAUUGAGAGGCGUUGCACUUCGCCUCCAUCUGUCAUCGUGAUCGGUGGAGGAAUCUCAGGGAUUGCUGCGGCUCAUGUCCUCUCCAAUUCCUCUUUUCAGGUACUGACAAAAUCCUGAUCUGUCUGCUGUUCCUCUAAUUAGAUGAUGCCCAUGCUGCCUGAGCAGGUGACUGUCCUUGAGUCGAGAGAUCGAAUUGGUGACCAUGUUCAUACGGAUUACUACUUUGGAUGCCCCAUCUACAUGGGAGCCUCAUGGUUGCACGGUGUCAGUAAUGAGAUUUCUUUAGCACCAUUGAUUGGCCAGCUAAAAAAGUACUACUGGCUAAGGAGAGCAGCUUGUCUGAAUUUCGAGCAGUUGGUGGUCAGGUUGAACUCUGAAUGAAGGGUGGCAACCUACUGAUUGGAACUAUUUUGCGGUCACUGGAAAUUGAAGAUCAGUAUUUUUACCCAGGGAGUCGUGUACCAAGGUACUUGGCAAGGUCCUUCAUCAACAGUAUGCAAACCGAAGAAAUCCCGGCUCCUGCUCGAAAGAAUAGUUCACAAACUAAAGGCGCCCCACUAAAGAAAAGUUACAGCGAGGAAAGGUUUUUGAAGCAUCAGAUGAUUUUGACGAAUUUGGAACACCUAUGCUAAAAGAGAGGAGUAUAUCAGAUUAUUUUAGUUCCCAAGAUGUUUUACCUAUUGGCCUCCCUUCCUUGCAAACCCUGCAUUUAGUCGAAUUCCUGGUUUGCUACCAGACAGUGAAAUUAAAAUGAUUGGAUUCACUUCCGAAGGAAGUGGUACUUCCGAUAGUUUUGUGAAAGCUCGGAUUGUUAUAUAUGAUCAGCAGUCUCUCCAGUACAACAACUUGGACACCGGGGUAAAUAUCUCAAUAUCUAAAAAUUAUUCAGUACUUAA
RNA transcript from Triticum aestivum (bread wheat), 1290 nucleotides. It is a transcript of the gene named polyamine oxidase 4, with no coding region annotated. The transcript is spliced from 5 exons. NCBI's taxonomy places the organism in Eukaryota, Viridiplantae, Streptophyta, Magnoliopsida, Poales, Poaceae. The record is from RefSeq and is a predicted model, not a curated record.